UACUUUGCUGCAGAUACUAAAUCUUUCAGGUGUGGUUGAAUUGAAAACUCAACUGCUAAUACUUGAGAAUAUUCUUUGGCUUCCCCUUGAGUCGAAUCAAUAAAUUUGGAUUGAAUACUCUAGCCUCGAAAACUGUUGCGAUCCCCUAUACUUGUGGGUUAUCAAGACUAUUUUCUGGCGCCGUUGCCGGGGAAGCCAAAGUCAAGAAU
Molecule: long non-coding RNA, 209 nt
Filed under: Hordeum vulgare
Lineage: Eukaryota; Viridiplantae; Streptophyta; Magnoliopsida; Poales; Poaceae
Description: long non-coding RNA (HVUL_LNC016451)
Source: RNAcentral